UGCACUGUGUGGUAUCUGCACCCUGCAAUAUUGUUGGGCUGUUCAAAAGACAGUGCUAUAGAAACUCAGUAUCUGGCAUCGUUGGUUUCAUGCUUAUUAUGCAUGUUCAACCUGGUAUUUCUAUUGAUACAAGC
Molecule: small nucleolar RNA, 134 nt
Filed under: Notamacropus eugenii (tammar wallaby)
Lineage: Eukaryota; Metazoa; Chordata; Mammalia; Diprotodontia; Macropodidae
Description: Small nucleolar RNA SNORA8 (ENSMEUG00000017592.1)
Rfam family: Small nucleolar RNA SNORA8
About the family: ACA8 is a member of the H/ACA class of snoRNA that guide the sites of modification of uridines to pseudouridines.
Source: RNAcentral